This 882-nucleotide unclassified non-coding RNA is filed under the name Bombus terrestris (buff-tailed bumblebee). Its description in RNAcentral is "misc RNA ENSBTSG00005020895.1". Lineage: Eukaryota; Metazoa; Arthropoda; Insecta; Hymenoptera; Apidae. The record is from RNAcentral.
AGAGCCAGGCUGAAAGAGAUCGCCCUCGCUCUUCCGCACAGUCGUUUUCCUCUAUUCUCCCCUUUUCUUCGUUUUGCAUCUCUAUUUCGCUCUUUGAACACCCAGUGAGAGGAACAGAAAUCUUUCGAUAUAACUUCGCGAAUCUCGCGAAUAGCGGCUGUUUAGCAGCGACCCACAACGAAAGGAAGAAGAACAAGCGGAGGAAAAGGUAGAAAAAGCUGGAAACGAGGCGUGACACGUAGGUCGUUCGCUUCGAAAGAUCUUAAAACAAUAAAGCUGUUCGCUGACGAGUAAAUACAAUGCGUGCUGGUUUCAUAACGAACAACACGUGGACGAUAAAUUUCCAUUGGAAGAGAAAGAGAGAGGUUUUCGAUACGAUUAUUGCAUCCUUACAUCGGUAUGCAGCGAAUGAAACUGGAUGGAAGAAUACAAUUGGCGAGGCACCAAGAGAAUCCGUCAUUUCAGGUAGUUGCCUAUUCUUCCAUAAAGAGGAGAGCUCGUCUCAAUCGACCUGCACCGAGGCCACUUACGUGCGUCGAUGCGUUCGAAGGAACGCAGCACACGUGCGUACCCCUCUCUCUCUUCGUGUUCCACGGAGAACAAAACCGAAAAGAAGAAGUGGAAGAUGAGAAAGCCUUGCCGGGGGCGGUCAGUGGCCUCUGCACCGGCUACCAUGAGACGACAGAACCGCCUUGGCUCGGUUCUUUACGCGCUUAGACGACCCUAGCGAGAAUAAUAAUGGGAAUUAUGGCAAACGAUGACUCGAACGCCACGAAAGAAACGGUCAUUUCUUGUUACAUUUUCACAACAUCAGAGACACGUUCUAAAGAAAGCCGAGCGAUGGGAAAACGCGAAAAUCGUGUACGCAUUCUAUGAACGAAG